CUUACCAGCCCUCCCAUAGUAACACUGCUGUCCGUUAAAGCAGCAGUUGAUAGCUUCACACUCAGCUCCACUGAUACCAGGUUGUCCACAUUGGAUCUGCUCAUAAUCAGCUACAGCACACUUGUCAAGGGGCUCUGCCUGCGCCACUGGCUGCUGAAGCUGAAACCUCUGAGGAACCUGCUGACCAGAUUGCAGUUGACCUGACUGUUGAAACUGCUGGCCAGGUUGCUGAAACA
Labeo rohita (rohu) is the source of this 236-nucleotide long non-coding RNA. RefSeq lists it as uncharacterized. The transcript has 2 exons. The record is from RefSeq and is a predicted model, not a curated record. Lineage: Eukaryota; Metazoa; Chordata; Actinopteri; Cypriniformes; Cyprinidae.